CUGAUCCCUUUCGUUGUAUGGCGUGCUCGUUUGGGUUGGGCGUCGGCUAAGAGUGCUCGAAGCGUGGAUUAACUCCAGUCUCCUAUCAGGUGUGUAUUUCUUACUACUCUAGCUGUAGGAUGGCUACUUCGGGCCGCGAUGGGCCGAAAGGGGUCAUGUGGGCCUAAUGGGCUUAAUGGGCCUACAGGCCCAAUUGGAUAAGUUGUUUGAUUGUGUAGUAAAUAUAGGGCUAGGCUAGGUGAAUCUAAUAUUUGUGGCUAGAUUUGGGCUAAAAGGGCCACACGAGCGUGUGGGCCCAUUUGGGCCGAGAAUGGGCUUUAGGGCCAUUAGUAUUGUUAUCCAUGUUUAGAAUACUUUAGUUUACCAAGUAUUGAAAUACCCUCGACUUGUAAAAUUACCAAAGUACCCCCGAUUUACAUAAUUACCAUUUUACCCUCGAUUUAUAGAAUUACCGUUUUACCCUUGAUUUAUAGAAUUACUAUUUUACCCUCGAUUUACAAAAUUACUAAAAUACCCUUGGUUUACAAAAUUACCAAAAUACCCUCGAUCAGUAAAAUUACCAAAAUACCCUGGUCUGUAAAAUUGCUAAAAUACCCCUGGUUCCCCUAGUUUGUAAAAUUACCAAAAUACCACUGGUUUGUGAAAUUACCAAAAUACCCUUAAUUUGUAAAAUUACCAAAAUACCCCUGAUUUACAAAAUUGCAGAAAUACCCUUGACUUUCUAAAAAUUAUAGAAAUACCAUUGGUUUACAAAAUUACUGAAAUACCCUUGGUUUGUAGAUUUACCAAAACACCCUUGUAGGGUGAAAUGACUAAAAUACCCCUAUUAGGUAAAAAGACCGUAAAGCCCCUGUAGGGUAAAGUGACCGUAAUACCCCUGUAUGGUAAAAUGACGAAUAUGCCCUUAUGUUCCGUAUGACUGAUGUGCUUAGGAUUUACAUAUAUCGAUAUUGGAUUAGUUAAGUUUGAGUGACAGGUGGUGGUUAUCGUAGGCGAUUGAUUUUGGAAACAUUUCAACUUCAACCCGUAACAGGUGUGUACUAACCCUCGUAAUAGCUUAGAUUAAUAUUUGCUGAGAAGCCGAAAUGCUAAAAUACCGGUAUUUCGGGAACUUGUAAUGUUGCGUGUGGGUAUAGAUGCGAUAAAUACGAUAAGAUCGGUGUUUGGAUCGAUGGAACGGGUAAGAACUCAAUUUUGUGCACGAUGGUAAGUGGGGCUCAAUAGGCAGGAAUUGGGCCAAAUGGGCUUUUGGGCCCAUUUGGGUAAAAUUGAUAGAAAAUGGAAUUUGGAAAAGUUGCAUGUUAACACGGUUAGUAUUGUUGUAAAAUUUAGGUUAAGCAGGCUUAGUGGGCUAAAUCAGCAUUCGUAGGGCCCAUUAGGGUUUUGGCCCAAAAGCCCGAAUUUGAUAAGUGGGUUAAAGAUCAUUGUUUAAACACUCGGAAAUAUUAAAAAUUGUAAUGAACAUGGAAAACCCUGAUUUUUGGUAAAAUUACGAAAAUACCCUUAUAAUAUGAAAAAUAAUUGUUUUGCCCUUGUGGGCAAGUGAUUAACUUGGACUGUGUGGUUGACGGAUUUGAUUGUGAAUAUAUGUUGGUGAUAUGAAUGACUUGACUGUGAUUGUUUGAUUCAAAUAUGGGCAUGACAUUCUGCAUACAUGACAUGUUGCAUGGGUUGGGUUUUAUAAAUGGAGGAAGUGCUAAAAGGGCUAUGCCCCAGUUUACCGAAAAGGGCUUUGCCCCAGUUUACCGAAAAGGGCUUUGCCCCAGUUUAUCAAAAGGGCUUUGCCCUAGUUAUUAAAAGAGGCUAGGCCUCCAGAUAUAUGAUAAAGCAGCUAUGCUGCCAGUGGUGUGUUGGUUGGGUGGGUUGAAUCAUUCCCCACAUGGUGUGUUGGUUGGUACGGGUGGAGAGUAGCGGAUGGUGGGUCGAGUAGUCUCCCCAAAUGGGCUUGCAUACAUCCAUUGACAUUACAUGUGAUAUUGAAAUAGGCCUAAGGGCCAUACCAUUUACAGUAAAGGCUUCAGCCCAGUGAUAUGAUUUAUGAUAAGGCUUUGGCCCAGUAACCGUUAAACAAAAGGCUUCGGUCCAGUAUAUGCCAAGACUAAAUAGGGCUUUGGCCCAGAUUGUACUGACACUGUGUUUUCACUGUUUGUUUGUUAUUGGGAUUACACACUGAGUUUUCGUAAACUCACCCCAUUUCUAACUGUGCAGGUAAUCCCUAAGCUUAGAUGGUUUGGAGUUGCGAGGGACUCGGAGAUGGCCACACUACUGUUUCUGGUUCUUUAAAUUGUAAUAAGUAGCCGAUUUAUUUUUUUAUAAGUUUUAUCUUAUUAAUAUUAUUAUUUGGUUUUGGGUUGUAAUAAGGCCAUUUUAAUUAUUUUUUUGGGAUUAUUUUAUUUUAUACCCUAUAUUUUUCUAAUAACAAUAUGAGUUAGACCUAGGGCGUAUUUCCAAAAUGAUAAUUGUUUUCAAAAUAAACGAACGAUACAAUUAAUCGGUUUAUCAAAAAUAUCGACUUAAAUGAAUUGCAACUCGUUUUUUUCAAAACUAACCUAGCACCAAAGUGUGGCAAUGGUUGUGGGCAUGCCUAGAAUUGGAUCCAAUCAAG
This 2605-nucleotide long non-coding RNA is filed under the name Gossypium barbadense (sea-island cotton). RNAcentral's name for it is "long non-coding RNA (GBAR_LNC002249)". Lineage: Eukaryota; Viridiplantae; Streptophyta; Magnoliopsida; Malvales; Malvaceae. The record is from RNAcentral.